GCACCCGUAGCUCAGCUGGAUAGAGCGCUGCCCUCCGAAGGCAGAGGUCGUGAGUUCGAAUCUCGCCGGGUGCA
This 74-nucleotide transfer RNA is filed under the name Devosia sp. DBB001. RNAcentral describes it as "tRNA-Arg-CCG". It matches the Rfam family "tRNA". From Rfam's summary of the family: Transfer RNA (tRNA) molecules are approximately 80 nucleotides in length. Their secondary structure includes four short double-helical elements and three loops (D, anti-codon, and T loops). Lineage: Bacteria; Pseudomonadati; Pseudomonadota; Alphaproteobacteria; Hyphomicrobiales; Devosiaceae. The record is from RNAcentral. RNAcentral also lists the same sequence under 1 other name.